GCGGAGCGGAGCGGAGCGGGG
This 21-nucleotide microRNA is filed under the name Taeniopygia guttata (zebra finch). Its description in RNAcentral is "tgu-miR-2976". Lineage: Eukaryota; Metazoa; Chordata; Aves; Passeriformes; Estrildidae. The record is from miRBase by way of RNAcentral.